Molecule: ribosomal RNA, 929 nt
Filed under: uncultured bacterium
Lineage: Bacteria
Description: bacterial SSU rRNA
Rfam family: Bacterial small subunit ribosomal RNA
Source: RNAcentral
ACGCUGGCGGCGUGCUUAACACAUGCAAGUCGAACGAUGAAGCCUAGCUUGCUAGGUGGAUUAGUGGCGAACGGGUGAGUAAUACGUGAGUGACCUACCUUUGACUCUGGGAUAAGCCUGGGAAACUGGGUCUAAUACCGGAUACGACCAAUCUCCGCAUGGGGUGUUGGUGGAAAGCGUUAUGGAGUGGUUUUAGAUGGGCUCACGGCCUAUCAGCUUGUUGGUGAGGUAAUGGCUUACCAAGGCGACGACGGGUAGCCGGCCUGAGAGGGUGACCGGCCACACUGGGACUGAGACACGGCCCAGACUCCUACGGGAGGCAGCAGUGGGGAAUAUUGCACAGUGGGCGCAAGCCUGAUGCAGCGACGCCGCGUGAGGGAUGACGGCCUUCGGGUUGUAAACCUCUGUUAGCAUCGAAGAAGCGAAAGUGACGGUAGGUGCAGAGAAAGCGCCGGCUAACUACGUGCCAGCAGCCGCGGUAAUACGUAGGGCGCGAGCGUUGUCCGGAAUUAUUGGGCGUAAAGAGCUUGUAGGCGGUUGGUCGCGUCUGCUGUGAAAGGCUGGGGCUUAACCCUGGUUUUGCAGUGGGUGCGGGCUAACUAGAGUGCAGUAGGGGAGACUGGAAUUCCUGGUGUAGCGGUGGAAUGCGCAGAUAUCAGGAGGAACACCGAUGGCGAAGGCAGGUCUCUGGGCUGUAACUGACGCUGAGAAGCGAAAGCAUGGGGAGCGAACAGGAUUAGAUACCCUGGUAGUCCAUGCCGUAAACGUUGGGCACUAGGUGUGGGGGACAUUCCACGUUUUCCGCGCCGUAGCUAACGCAUUAAGUGCCCCGCCUGGGGAGUACGGCCGCAAGGCUAAAACUCAAAGAAAUUGACGGGGGCCCGCACAAGCGGCGGAGCAUGCGGAUUAAUUCGAUGCAACGCGAAGAA